Molecule: long non-coding RNA, 585 nt
Filed under: Ornithorhynchus anatinus (platypus)
Lineage: Eukaryota; Metazoa; Chordata; Mammalia; Monotremata; Ornithorhynchidae
Description: lncRNA (ENSOANG00000038016.1)
Source: RNAcentral
AUGCGUCGUCGCCUCCUACAGACACAUCCUGGUUACCAGACUUCUCUGGGACUUCUCUCUGUCACCCGGCCUGCCUUGGAUCACUCUGCUGGUCCUUCCAGAGGGGUCACAGCACGAUGGCGUCCACCUGCUGGAGAAGAGUGGAAGCAGGCAGACCGUGGGGUUCACUGCAUACCUGCUGUGUGGAGAGUGUUGUACUGGAUGCCUGUAAGCUCAUCCUCUAGACUGUCCAUUACACUGACACAGUGAUUGGUGGAGGAGAGCGGAGCUCUUGUCAGCGGAGUGAGUAUUGGCUGUCACCCCACUUAUCAAGCUGCCUGCUUAUUUGCGAUUUUAUUUUCAGCAGUGAUUGACAUCUGGAUGGCUCUGACAUUCUCGGUACAAACAUGCAGCCUGUUAUUAUGCCCGCAUUAACAUUUUGAUAAACACACGCUGCCGCAUUGGAAAAGUAAUUACAUGUCAUCACUUCACUGUCUCAUCAAAGAAAAGUUUACUGUGUAAUUGUACCACGAUUUACCUGGGUAAAACGAGUUACUGUCGACAAAGCUCCCCGUUCUUCAACAGUUUACGUUUACUGUUUAAAAC